GAGCUUACCAUGCAGUCUCUUGAUCCUUCGGGUGAAGGUGGCGGACGGGUGAGUAACGCGUAAAGAACUUGCCUUACAGACUGGGACAACAUUUGGAAACGAAUGCUAAUACCGGAUAUUAUGACUGAGUCGCAUGAUUUGGUUAUGAAAGCUAUAUGCGCUGUGAGAGAGCUUUGCGUCCCAUUAGUUAGUUGGUGAGGUAACGGCUCACCAAGACGAUGAUGGGUAGCCGGCCUGAGAGGGUGAACGGCCACAAGGGGACUGAGACACGGCCCUUACUCCUACGGGAGGCAGCAGUGGGGAAUAUUGGACAAUGGACCAAAAGUCUGAUCCAGCAAUUCUGUGUGCACGAUGAAGUUUUUCGGAAUGUAAAGUGCUUUCAGUUGGGAAGAAGUCAGUGACGGUACCAACAGAAGAAGCGACGGCUAAAUACGUGCCAGCAGCCGCGGUAAUACGUAUGUCGCAAGCGUUAUCCGGAUUUAUUGGGCGUAAAGCGCGUCUAGGCGGUUUAGUAAGUCUGAUGUGAAAAUGCGGGGCUCAACCCCCGUAUUGCGUUGGAAACUGUUAAACUAGAGUACUGGAGAGGUAGGCGGAACUACAAGUGUAGAGGUGAAAUUCGUAGAUAUUUGUAGGAAUGCCGAUGGGGAAGCCAGCCUACUGGACAGAUACUGACGCUAAAGCGCGAAAGCGUGGGUAGCAAACAGGAUUAGAUACCCUGGUAGUCCACGCCGUAAACGAUGAUUACUAGGUGUUGGGGGUCGAACCUCAGCGCCCAAGCUAACGCGAUAAGUAAUCCGCCUGGGGAGUACGUACGCAAGUAUGAAACUCAAAAGGAAUUGACGGGGGACCCGCACAAGCGGUGGAGCAUGUGGUUUUAAUUCGACGCAACGCGAGGAACCUUACCAGCGUUUGACAUCCCAAGAAGUUAACAGAGAUGUUUUCGUGCCUCUUCGGAGGAACUUGGUGACAGGUGGUGCAUGGCUGUCGUCAGCUCGUGUCGUGAGAUGUUGGGUUAAGUCCCGCAACGAGCGCAACCCCUUUCGUAUGUUACCAUCAUUAAGUUGGGGACUCAUGCGAGACUGCCUGCGAUGAGCAGGAGGAAGGUGGGGAUGACGUCAAGUCAUCAUGCCCCUUAUACGCUGGGCUACACACGUGCUACAAUGGGUAGUACAGAGAGCUGCAAACCUGCGAGGGUAAGCUAAUCUCAUAAAACUAUUCUUAGUUCGGAUUGUACUCUGCAACUCGAGUACAUGAAGUUGGAAUCGCUAGUAAUCGCAAAUCAGCUAUGUUGCGGUGAAUACGUUCUCGGGUCUUGUACACACCGCCCGUCACACCACGAGAGUUGGUUGCACCUGAAGUAACAGGCCUAACCCGUAAGGAGGGAUNUCCGAGGGUGUGG
Molecule: ribosomal RNA, 1399 nt
Filed under: bacterium NLAE-zl-P308
Lineage: Bacteria
Description: bacterial SSU rRNA
Rfam family: Bacterial small subunit ribosomal RNA
Source: RNAcentral